Molecule: small RNA, 29 nt
Filed under: Bombyx mori (domestic silkworm)
Lineage: Eukaryota; Metazoa; Arthropoda; Insecta; Lepidoptera; Bombycidae
Description: ovarian small RNA-21149
Source: RNAcentral
UACGUAAUGAUACAAGCACCUGGUAACAG